This 409-nucleotide ribosomal RNA is filed under the name uncultured Nitrososphaerota archaeon. RNAcentral describes it as "bacterial SSU rRNA". It matches the Rfam family "Archaeal small subunit ribosomal RNA", at positions 452 to 861 of the family's 1478-position model. The record is from RNAcentral. Lineage: Archaea; Thermoproteati; Nitrososphaerota.
CUGGUGUCAGCCGCCGCGGUAAUACCAGCACCCCGAGUGGUCGGGACGUUUAUUGGGCCUAAAGCAUCCGUAGCCGGUUCUACAAGUCUUCCGUUAAAUCCACCUGCUUAACAGAUGGGCUGCGGAAGAUACUAUAGAGCUAGGAGGCGGGAGAGGCAAGCGGUACUCGAUGGGUAGGGGUAAAAUCCGUUGAUCCAUUGAAGACCACCAGUGGCGAAGGCGGCUUGCCAGAACGCGCUCGACGGUGAGGGAUGAAAGCUGGGGGAGCAAACCGGAUUAGAUACCCGGGUAGUCCCAGCUGUAAACGAUGCAGACUCGGUGAUGAGUUGGCUUAUUGCUAACUCAGUGCCGCAGGGAAGCCGUUAAGUUUGCCGCCUGGGGAGUACGGUCGCAAGACUGAAACUUAAAG